RNAcentral lists this ribosomal RNA (301 nucleotides) under uncultured bacterium. RNAcentral's name for it is "partial 16S ribosomal RNA". It matches the Rfam family "Bacterial small subunit ribosomal RNA", at positions 509 to 809 of the family's 1533-position model. The record is from RNAcentral.
CAGCAGCCGCGGGAAUACGUAGGGUGCAAGCGUUAAUCGGAAUUACUGGGCGUAAAGCGUGCGCAGGCGGUUUUGUAAGACAGAGGUGAAAUCCCCGGGCUCAACCUGGGAACUGCCUUUGUGACUGCAAGGCUAGAGUACGGCAGAGGGGGAUGGAAUUCCGCGUGUAGCAGUGAAAUGCGUAGAUAUGCGGAGGAACACCGAUGGCGAAGGCAAUCCCCUGGGCCUGUACUGACGCUCAUGCACGAAAGCGUGGGGAGCAAACAGGAUUAGAUACCCGGGUAGUCCCUGUCUCUUAUAU